AGAGUUUGAUCCUGGCUCAGGACGAACGCUGGCGGCGUGCCUAACACAUGCAAGUCGAACGGGACCAGGGGCAACUCUGGUUCAGUGGCGGACGGGUGCGUAACACGUGAGGAACAUGACUUUCGGCGGGGGAUAGCCGGCCCAACGGCCGGGUAAUACCGCGUACGACCUUUCGGGGACAUCCCCGGUUGGUGAAAGCAGCAAUGCACCGAAAGAGUGCCUCGCGGCCUAUCAGCUAGUUGGUGGGGUAACGGCUCACCAAGGCGACGACGGGUAGCUGGUCUGAGAGGAUGGCCAGCCACAUUGGGACUGAGACACGGCCCAGACUCCUACGGGAGGCAGCAGUGGGGAAUAUUGCGCAAUGGGCGAAAGCCUGACGCAGCGACGCCGCGUGUGGGAUGACGGCCUUCGGGUUGUAAACCACUGUCGGGAGGGACGAAUGCGCCGCAAGGCGAGUGACGGUACCUCCAAAGGAAGCACCGGCUAACUCCGUGCCAGCAGCCGCGGUAAUAC
This 513-nucleotide ribosomal RNA is filed under the name uncultured bacterium. RNAcentral describes it as "bacterial SSU rRNA". It matches the Rfam family "Bacterial small subunit ribosomal RNA", at positions 8 to 526 of the family's 1533-position model. The record is from RNAcentral.